RNAcentral lists this transfer RNA (70 nucleotides) under Loxodonta africana (African savanna elephant). It matches the Rfam family "tRNA". Rfam says of the family: Transfer RNA (tRNA) molecules are approximately 80 nucleotides in length. Lineage: Eukaryota; Metazoa; Chordata; Mammalia; Proboscidea; Elephantidae. The record is from Rfam by way of RNAcentral.
GCAAUGAUGGUUCAGUGGUAGAAUUCUUGUCUUCCAUGCAGGAUAUCUGGUUUAAUUCCCAGCCAAUGCA